Long non-coding RNA from Motacilla alba alba, 638 nucleotides. RefSeq lists it as uncharacterized. The record is from RefSeq and is a predicted model, not a curated record. NCBI's taxonomy places the organism in Eukaryota, Metazoa, Chordata, Aves, Passeriformes, Motacillidae. The transcript is spliced from 3 exons.
GCUCAUCACUUACAUUUCCACUGAACAUGCAUUGACACUUGUCUGCCACCAGUUCACAGCAUCCCCUCUGCCUUCCUUCAUCACGGACAUUUGAAGUACAGCUGCUCAGGUUCUCUAAAAAUGUGUGGCAAUAAAAAACUCUGAAAAAACCGAAAUCUGAUAUAAUGUCAUUCACCUUCUGGAGUCUCAAGAACAGAGGAAAACUUGCUGUCAGAAAAUUAUUGUAACAGGGCAAGAAGGAGAACCCAGGAAACAAUCAGCUAGUCAGCCUCACCUCCAUCCCUGCAAUGAUUGUGGAAAAGGUCAUUCUGCAGGUUGUCACCAAGAAUAUAAAAGGUCAGAAGGAAUAGUCAUCAGAAGGUUAUUAGGAAUAGUCAGCGUGGACUCUUCAAGAGGAAAUCAAGCUUAACCAGUUUAACAGCCUUCUGUGAUGACAUGGCAGGAUGGAUCGACGAGGAGAGGGCAGUGGAUUUGUUUACCUUGACUUCACAAAGGUUUUGCACUGUCUCCCAUGAUAUCCUUGCAGGUGGAUACAAAGAUGGAAUUAUGGUUAUUUAGCAGUUAAGACAGAGCUUUAAAAUGAAAAGAACUCCAUGUCUUCCAAAAAGCCAUAAUCAAAGCUAUAGCUAUGACAGUCA